CCAGCAGCCGCGGUAAUACCAGCACCUCAAGUGGUCAGGAUGAUUAUUGGGCCUAAAGCAUCCGUAGCUCGUUUUGUAAGUUUUCGGUUAAAUCCAUGCGCUUAACGUAUGGGCUGCCGGGAAUACUGCAUAACUAGGAAGUGGGAGAGGUAGACGGUACUCGGUAGGAAGGGGUAAAAUCCUUUGAUCUAUUGAUGACCACCUGUGGCGAAGGCGGUCUACCAGAACACGUUCGACGGUGAGGGAUGAAAGCUGGGGGAGCAAACCGGAUUAGAUACCCGGGUAGUCCCAGCUGUAAACUAUGCAAACUCAGUGAUGCAUUGGCUUGUGGCCAAUGCAGUGCUGCAGGGAAGCCGUUAAGUUUGCCGCCUGGGAAGUACGUACGCAAGUAUGAAACUUAAAGGAAUUGGCGGGGGAGCACGGACUGAGCUGCAU
Molecule: ribosomal RNA, 435 nt
Filed under: uncultured eukaryote
Lineage: Eukaryota
Description: SSU rRNA
Rfam family: Archaeal small subunit ribosomal RNA
Source: RNAcentral